GAUGAAGAACGUAGCGAAAUGGGAUAAGUAAUGUGAAUUGCAGAAUUCAGUGAAUCAUCGAAUCUUUGAACGCACAUUGCGCCCCCUGGUAUUCCGGGGGGCAUGCCUGUCCGAGCGUCAUUACAACCCUCAAGCUCAGCUUGGUAUUGGGCCCCGCCGACCCGGCGGGCCCUAAAGUCAGUGGCGGUGCCGUCCGGCUCCGAGCGUAGUAAUUCUUCUCGCUCUGGAGGUCCGGUCGUGUGCUCGCCAGCAACCCCCAAUUUUUUUCAGGUUGACCUCGGAUCAGGUAGGGAUACCCGCUGAACUUAAGCAUAUCAAUAAGCGGAGGA
This 329-nucleotide unclassified non-coding RNA is filed under the name soil metagenome. RNAcentral describes it as "partial contains 5.8S ribosomal RNA, internal transcribed spacer 2, and large subunit ribosomal RNA". The stretch from base 1 to 120 matches the Rfam family "5.8S ribosomal RNA", at positions 35 to 154 of the family's 154-position model. The record is from RNAcentral.